RNAcentral lists this ribosomal RNA (332 nucleotides) under uncultured bacterium. Its description in RNAcentral is "bacterial SSU rRNA". It matches the Rfam family "Bacterial small subunit ribosomal RNA", at positions 335 to 681 of the family's 1533-position model. The record is from RNAcentral.
ACUCCUACGGGAGGCAGCAGUAGGGAAUCUUGCGCAAUGGGCGAAAGCCUGACGCAGCGACGCCGCGUGCGGGAUGACGGCCCUAGUGGUUGUAAACCGCUUUCAGCAGGGACGAAAAUGACGGUACCUGCAGAAGAAGUCCCGGCUAACNACUGNGCCAGCAGCCGCGGUAAUACGUAGGGGACAAGCGUUGUCCGGAUUCAUUGGGCGUAAAGAGCUCGUAGGCGGUUCAGUAAGUUGGGUGUGAAAGCUCCGGGCUCAACCCGGAGAGGCCACUCAAUACUGCUGUGACUAGAGUCCAGUAGAGGAGCGUGGAACUCCUGGUGUAGCGG